ACAGAAGUGGUUGGGCGUCGUGAGGAACGCAUCGGCGGCAGAACACUCAAGCGGCUGGUUGUUGAGAGCACGCCAGCUGAAGAGCACCCCUGCACACUGGCAGGCCAUCCACAGGUGUCAGAAACUCAGCUCAGCUGGAAGAAACUUGACGUACCAGGUAUCAGAGUAGCAAGUAAAGCCACAAGCCAAAAAUGAAAGAGAAUCCUUUAAGUGCUUAUCGCGAUGGUGUAAGUAAUUGUCCAAAAGAAACGCCGAUUCCUUCUGUUCCAUUUUUACCUGUGGAUUGUGGAUUGAAAUAACCAUUGGACCAUGAGGAGAGACUCUGAAGAGAGGCUAGUGAUAUGUGAUAUAAUACUCUUUUGUGAUGUUGGACCAUGGCAGUGAGCCACAGCUCCCAGUCAGCAAUGCGAUCCCAAGAAUAAACAACCGAUUCUCGACAGUGUCCUAUUUUGCCAGUCGAUUUUGUUCAACAGUAGGUUCAUAUCACCUGUAGACCCAAAACAACUUCAAAUAGCCAUUUCCUUCACUGCUGUGAGCAGAUGUAGACAGAUAAGGAAAUGAAGGCACAAAGAAGUCAAGUGCUUUUCCAAUGCCAGAGAAGUAAGAGGUAAGUUAUUAUACUCUCUGCCCUUCUGGAAUUGUUGGAUAGGAUUCCUUGACUCCACAGAGCUGGUGAUAGGCUAUUAACUAUGGAUUUGCAAUCAGGUACUAAAAGCUCCCCUUGAACUGGGCUGUCAUAAUCUUUUUCCCUGUUUUUGACAUAAUAUGCUGUGUUAAUUAUAUGAUAACAUUGGUGUUAACUGAGAGUAAAAUAUAUCCUUCAAGUUGCUAUUCUAAGACUGGUCAUAAAUUUUUAUUGACUCACCCUUUAAGUCAAUGAUUUUUGGCGACUAAUAUUACAGAUUUGCAGUGGAACUUAAUGCCAUGCUUACCUACGUUUACCAUAGCAUUCUGCCUUAUGUACAAAGAACAAAAAAUGGAAAAUUAAAAACUUGAUAAUUAAACAUUGACUAGAAGAAUUUCAUUCGAAGGUGCUAAAACAAGUUUUGAUGAGGGCCCUAAUCUUUGAAGAUACGGUGAUAGGUUUCAAAGUGUAGCUUUGCUGAAACUGCCUUAAUUUUUCUUAAUACAAAGUAAGCACUUAAAAUAAGUUUUACUCUGCAACAUGGAAAAUGAUAGCAUGUAAAUUUUAUAGUUAUUUUUUUAUUUGAUGUUUACAGAAUGUUUUAGCAAUGACAAGUUGAAGUUUACUUCAAAUACAUUUGGAAUUAGAGCUGAUUUACUAUAGCUGUAUAUUUUGAAUUACACAGGCAAUAUAUUUCAAGAUAUAGAUAUAUAUUGCCAUUGCAAUAUAGAAACAGAUUGCUUAUUUUGUCAUGGCAGAAUUAUUUUGCUUUGGGGACAGAAUGUUAAAUUCUAUGAAUAUUUGUGAAGCCUAUUUCUCUACAUUGAAGAAAAUGUUUCUCCCAAAUGUUUUAAAUUGAAAUGAAAUACAAUUCCGUCUUCUUCAUGUGAGGUACCACUGCUGCAUCGGUACAUCAUACUCAGUAAUUCAGGUAGAAUAACUUAUCUGCCAACUCUAGCACAUGGCUCAAUCCUGAGUGUGGCAAGGGUCAUAUCUGAAAAACAGAACGUUCCUUUUCAUAACAUAAGAUCCUCUCAAAUUCUCAUUAGGUCAUACUGCUUGAGGCAUUGCCUGCUUUACUGGUUCCUGAUCUACAAUUUCACCAUUAAUACUUGAGUACCUUAACUCAUUUAGCUCUAUUAACAACUCAAUGUGAUGAAUAUUGUUUCUCUUCAUUUUAUAAACGAGGAAACUGGAUCAUUCGAGCCUAAACAGAGCUAGUAAGUUUCCUUAACCUCUACUUUCUUCAUACUUUCAUGACCACUGCCUAAGAAUAGGUGUAGCAAACAUUUAUUUUCAUCUAUUUUGUUGAAAUUAUGCUACAUAAAAAUACAACUACAAAUUAUGAUUCUUCAUAAAAUUAUUAACUAUCAAUUUACUACUUUUUUAGUAGAAAAAAAUUGUAAGCAAAAAGCAAAGCAGCUUUUUUUGGAACUUAAAUAUUAAGAGAAAAAAUGAUGUAAAUAACCCAUGUGUAUUAGAGCUGCUUGUGCUGGCUUAUGAAAGUCAAUUGUUAAGUUUUCAUAGAUUUCAUGGGUAUGUUUUUAAAUACAAUCACCUUUUAAAACGAAAUCUUAUGAAUGUGCAAUUACACAUUAUUAAAAACGAAGGUGGCAAAUACUCAAUAUUUGUCAUUUUCUCCUAAGUUUACUAUGUUAACUAUGAUCUAUGUUUUUAAAGUUAUUUGUGCUCAUUAUGUCUGUAGGGUAAAAUACUAAAUAAUCAUGUGUUUCUGCACAUCUCUUCUCUGUUUUGUGUUAGGUGACAUCAUGUUGGUAGAUUGAAAUUACUCAUGAUGGGACUAUAUUUACAUCAUAGAAUUUGACAAAUGCUGGAAACAAAAAUUUGAUUCAUUGUUUUGUUGAUGCUUAGACUUAAGAAAGUGAUGUGAAAAUGUUAAUAAUGCAAAUUAAACUUAAAAAGCUGCCAGGUUUGUAGUCAUUACAUUGUGACUAGUGCACACACAUACACACACACACAAAACAAAAAUGAGAACAUAUUCUUCUAGUAGUCAAACAUUAUCAUCUGAUUCAGCAAAGAACACAUCCAUAUUCUUGACAAAUGAGUGAAUUGCCAAAAUGCCUUUUUGUGGUUUUACUCUCAUCUUACUUGUUAAACAAAUAAAAUUAUCAACUAACAUUCAUGUUGAAAAAGCAUGCUCUCAUCAAUGAUGUGGAUGAAUGCUGAAUUGGAUAGUGAUUCAGCAUCUAUUUGUAGUCUGAUUUUGUUAAAUCACAGUUAAAUGGCAAACAUAAGUUUGCCUCAGAUACAAGAGGUCAGCAAAAAUCAAUAAAAAUGUUCUGUAAAAAUCAAUUGGCUACAUGGAAUUGCAAUAGAGUAUUGUAUUUUUAUUAUUAUUUGUAAACUGUGUCCUAUAUUAUAUCAGUAAAAAUAUAAUAAACUCAAACGUUUUUUCAAGGUUUACUGUUAAACAUUAACCAGCAUACCACUGCAAACUCUCACUCAGUAAAGGCUGCAAUAUAGAAAAGAAAUGUGUAGUUUAGGAAAUCUUAAGAAAAUACUCUCAGCAUAUAAAUCAAAAUAACAUUGAAAUGUUCUAGUAUGAAUUAGUAAUAGGUAAGUGGGAAAAAAAGACUAACCAAA
Long non-coding RNA from Pan troglodytes (chimpanzee), 3229 nucleotides. RefSeq lists it as uncharacterized. NCBI's taxonomy places the organism in Eukaryota, Metazoa, Chordata, Mammalia, Primates, Hominidae. The transcript is spliced from 5 exons. The record is from RefSeq and is a predicted model, not a curated record.